AAUCCAUGUUGAGGGCACUUCCGCAACAGGUUCUUGAACCAUUUCAAUGUCUCAAAUAAGGAUUCUAGCUCCGUUUAAACAUAUGAUGAGAUUUCAUUGCGGAGUUU
This is a small nucleolar RNA of Dioscorea cayenensis subsp. rotundata (Guinea yam), 107 nucleotides long. The record is from RefSeq and is a predicted model, not a curated record. NCBI's taxonomy places the organism in Eukaryota, Viridiplantae, Streptophyta, Magnoliopsida, Dioscoreales, Dioscoreaceae.